RNAcentral lists this ribosomal RNA (85 nucleotides) under Clostridium moniliforme. RNAcentral describes it as "partial 16S ribosomal RNA". It matches the Rfam family "Bacterial small subunit ribosomal RNA", at positions 1 to 84 of the family's 1533-position model. The record is from RNAcentral. Lineage: Bacteria; Bacillati; Bacillota; Clostridia; Eubacteriales; Clostridiaceae.
UUUAUUGAGAGUUUGAUCCUGGCUCAGGACGAACGCUGGCGGCGUGCCUAACACAUGCAAGUCGAGCGAUGAAAUUUCCUUCGGG